Long non-coding RNA from Ailuropoda melanoleuca (giant panda), 810 nucleotides. RefSeq lists it as uncharacterized. The transcript has 2 exons. The record is from RefSeq and is a predicted model, not a curated record. NCBI's taxonomy places the organism in Eukaryota, Metazoa, Chordata, Mammalia, Carnivora, Ursidae.
CCGCCGGGCGGCGUCCGGCAGGCCGGAGGCCGGGGGCUCGGCGGCCGCAGCCCGCAGCGUUCUCUGCGCUCUCGGCGUCGCCUCCGCUGUGCGGAGGGGCGGAUGACACUGCGGAGCCGGACGACGGCGCGCCCUGGAGCCCGAGGCCUGGGGGAUUUGGGCGAGAGCAGCUGCUGGCCUGCAGCCCGAGCCGUUCCGCGCGUCCGGCGCCGGGCUUCUCUCCGAGGACUCGCAGAGAAAUGCAGCAUUCCGGGAGGGAGCGAGGGUACCCUGAGAGCCGGAGCCCCCGAGGGACGUGCCGCUAAGAGGCGUCUCCGCCCGCAACUGGGUCGCCUGGGGUGGGAGUGGGGCCCAGGAAGCCAGUCCUGGCCGCACUCCCUGCCUGGCGGCUCUCAGGCUCACCCCGGAUAAGGAGUGACCCUCUGUCCCCCUGAGCGGGGUCAUACUGAGGGGGAAAUGUCAGAACGCCAAGAACCGGCACCCAGAGUCUCUCAGAUCUGCAGUCUUCACAGCCAGGGCUGCGCACCUGCCGCUUAUGUCUCCUCCCGGCAGGUGGGCUCCUUCCAGCUCACCUGGAGGACCUGGUCUAGGGAAGGGUCUCUGCCUGUGCCUUCAUCCAAGCCCUGUGGGAAGGAGAAAGGGAAACACAAAAAGCACUCUGGCUUCCUAAUUCACUGAGGACUUCUGCCCACGCCACUCCUGUACCUUCCUUGAAAGUAGAAGACAGUCGUAAUUCACAACACAUGGCCCCAGACCUAAAAGAGGCUGGUCUCCAAAUCUGGGCUCAAAAUAAAAUCACAAAUAAACCCG